RNAcentral lists this ribosomal RNA (428 nucleotides) under uncultured bacterium. RNAcentral's name for it is "partial 16S ribosomal RNA". It matches the Rfam family "Bacterial small subunit ribosomal RNA", at positions 354 to 796 of the family's 1533-position model. The record is from RNAcentral.
GUGGGGAAUAUUGGGCAAUGGGGGAAACCCUGACCCAGCAACGCCGCGUGAGGGAAGAAGGUUUUCGGAUUGUAAACCUCUGUCCUUGGUGACGAAGGAAGUGACGGUAGCCAAGGAGGAAGCCCCGGCUAACUACGUGCCAGCAGCCGCGGUAAUACGUAGGGGGCAAGCGUUGUCCGGAAUGACUGGGCGUAAAGGGCGUGUAGGCGGCCGAUUAAGUCUGGAGUGAAAGUCCUGCUUUCAAGGUGGGAAUUGCUUUGGAGACUGGUUGGCUUGAGUGCGGAAGAGGUAAGUGGAAUUCCCAGUGUAGCGGUGAAAUGCGUAGAGAUUGGGAGGAACACCAGUGGCGAAGGCGACUUACUGGGCCGUAACUGACGCUGAGGCGCGAAAGCGUGGGGAGCGAACAGGAUUAGAAACCCUAGUAGUCC